This 460-nucleotide ribosomal RNA is filed under the name uncultured bacterium. RNAcentral's name for it is "partial 16S ribosomal RNA". It matches the Rfam family "Bacterial small subunit ribosomal RNA", at positions 338 to 795 of the family's 1533-position model. The record is from RNAcentral.
CCUACGGGGGGCAGCAGUGAGGAAUAUUGGUCAAUGGACGAGAGUCUGAACCAGCCACGUCGCGUGAAGGAUGACUGCCCUAUGGGUUGUAAACUUCUUUUAUAAAGGAAUAAAACGAGGCACGUGUGCCUUUUUGCAUGUACUUUAUGAAUAAGCAUCGGCUAACUCCGUGCCAGCAGCAGCGGUAAUACGGAGGAUCCGAGCGUUAUCCGGAUUUAUUGGGUUUAAAGGGAGCGUAGAUGGGUUGUUAAGUCAGUUGUGAAAGUUUGCGGCUCAACCGUAAAAUUGCAAUUGAUACUGGCAGUCUUGAGUACAGUAGAGGUAGGCGGAAUUCGUGGUGUAGCGGUGAAAUGCUUAGAUAUCACGAAGAACCCCGAUUGCGAAGGCAGCUUACUAAACUGUGACUGACAUUGAUGCUCGAAAGUGUGGGUAGCAAACAGGAUUAGAUACCCCAGUAGUC